RNAcentral lists this small RNA (139 nucleotides) under Humidesulfovibrio mexicanus. RNAcentral's name for it is "Desulfovibrio mexicanus c-di-AMP sequence". It matches the Rfam family "c-di-AMP riboswitch aptamer (ydaO/yuaA leader)". Rfam says of the family: This family represents a conserved RNA structure found upstream of the ydaO and yuaA genes in Bacillus subtilis and related genes in other bacteria. The ydaO/yuaA element is thought to act as a genetic "off" switch for the ydaO and yuaA genes in its native state. It is believed that the element may be triggered during osmotic shock leading to activation of ydaO, a predicted amino acid transporter gene, and members of the yuaA-yubG operon which code for KtrA and KtrB K+ transporters. Lineage: Bacteria; Pseudomonadati; Thermodesulfobacteriota; Desulfovibrionia; Desulfovibrionales; Desulfovibrionaceae. The record is from RNAcentral.
UGAAUGCCGUUGCCGAAUUCCGGGUUUCUCCCUGGAAGCGGGGAACCCACUCCCUUGGGGCGCAUCGCUUGAAAAAGCGUAGGACACCUUUCGGUCCGAGCCCGACAGCUAACCUCGCAGGCAUCGACAGGGUAGCCCU